CUUUGUAAAGUGUGGAUUCAGCUCACAAUGUUAAACCUUUCUUUUGAUUCAACUGUUUGGAAACACUCUUUUUGUAGUAUCGGUGAAGAAACAUUUCAGAGCACAGUGAGGCAUAUACUGAAAUACAAAAUAUCCCAUGAGAAAAACUAGACAGAAGGUGUCUGAGAAACCCCUUUUUGAUGUGUGCAUUCAGCUCACAGAUUUACACCUUACUUUUGAUUUAGCAGUGUAGAAACACUAUUUUUGUAGUAUCUGUGAAGUUAUAUUUCAAUGGAUAUUGAGGUCUAUAGUGAAAAACUGAAUAUCCUGAGAUAAAAACCCAGAAAGAAGCUAUCUGUGAUGUUGCUUUAUGAUUUGUGGAUUCAGAUCACAGAGUUAAACCUUUGUUUUGAUUCAGCAGUUUGAAAACCCUAUUUUUGUGGAGCCUGCAAAGGGACAUUUCAGAGCACAGUAAGGUCUUCUUUAGUGAAAAACAAAAUAUCCCAUGAUAAAUACUAGAAAGAAGCUAUCUGUGAAAUUGUUCUUUCAGGUGGGGAUUCAGCUCACAGAGUUAAACCUAACUUGGUACGCAGGUUGGAAACACUCUUUUUGUAAAAUCUGUGAAGAAAUAUUUCAGAGUACACUGAGUCUUAUACUGAAAAAUCAAAGAUCCCGUGAUAAAAUAAAAAGAAAGAAGCUAUCUGGAAAACUGCUUUGUGAUGUGUGCAUUCAUCUCACAUAGUUAAUCCAUUCUUUUGAUUCAGCAGGUUGAAAACACUCUUUUUGUAGACUCCGUGAAGGGAUUUUUCAGAGCCCACUGAGGCCUAUAGUGAAAAAGUGAAUAUCACGUGAUAAAAAACUAGAAUGAAGCUAUCUCUGAAACUGUUUUGUGAAGUGUGUAAUCAGCUCAAAGAGUCAAACCAUCCUUUGGAUUCAGCAGCUUUGAAACUCUUUUUUUGUAGACUCUGCUAAAGGAUAUUUUGGAGCACACUGAGGACUCUAGUGAAAAACAAAAUAUCCCACAAAAAAUAAAAUGAAGCUAUCAGUGAAACUGAUUUGUAAUGUUUGUGUUUAGCUUACAGAGUUAAAUCUUUCUGAUUUUUAGGAGGUUAGAAACACCUUUUAUGUAGAAUCUGUGAAGGAACAUUUCUGAGCCCACUGAGGUUUACAGUGAAAACUGAAUAUCUCAUGAUAAAAAAUAGAAGCGACCUGGGAAACUGGUUUGUGAUAUGUGUAUUCAGUUCACAGAGUUAAACCUUUCUUUUGAUUCACCAUGUUGGAAACACUCUUUUUGCAGAAUCUCCAAAGGGAUAUUUUGGAGAUCACCAAGGCCUAUAAUAAAAAACAGAAUAUUCUGCAAUAAAAACUAGAAAGAAUCUAUCUGUAAAACUGCUUUCUGAUGUCUUAAUUCAGCUCACAGAGUUAACCUUCCUGUUGAUUAAUCAGCUUGAAAACGCUUUUUUUUUUUUUUUUGUAGAAUCUGUGCAGGGACAUUUUGGAGUGCACUGAGGCCUACAGUGAAAAACUGAAUACCCCACUAUAAAAACUAGAAAGAAGGUUGGAAACACUGUUAUAGAAGAAUCUGCAAACGGACACUUCAGAGCACACUGAAGCAUAUACUGAGAAACAAAAUAUCCCAUGAUAAAAACUAGAAAGAAGCUAUCUGUGAAACUGAUUUGUGAUGUAUGGAUCCAGCUUACAGACUUAAACCUUCUUUUAUAUUCAUCAGUUUGGAAACACUUUUAUUUUUAGAGACUGUGAUGGUAUAUUUUAGAGCACGGUAAGGUCUAUAGUGAAAAACAGAAUAUCCAUCCAUACAAACUAGAAAAAAAAGCUGUCUGUUAAACGGCUUUGUGAUGGGUGCAUUCAGCUUGCAGAGUUAAACCUUUCUUUUGAUGUUGCAGGACUGAAAUACUUUUUUUGUAAAAUCUGGGAAGUGACAUUUCAAAGCCCACUGAGGCCUAUAGUAACAAACGGAAUAUUACUAGAUAAAAACUAUAAAGAAGCUCUCUGUAAAAUUGCUUUGUGAUGUGAGGAUUUAGCUCACAGAGUUAAAGUUUUCUUUUGAUUCAGUGGUCUGGAAACACUCUUUUUGCAGAAUCUGUGAAGGGUCAUUUUAAAUAGCAUUGAGUUCUAUAGUAAAAAAAAAAUCCCAUGAAAAAAACUAGAAAGAAGCUAUGUGUGAAAUGCUUUGUGCUGUCUCCAUUCAGCUCACAGGAUUAAACCUUUGUUUUGAUUCAGCAGUUUGGAAACAUACUUUAAGGCCUAUUGUGAAAAACCAAAUAUCCCCUAAUAAAAUCUAGAAAGAAACUAUCAGUGAAACUUUGAUGUGGGGAUUCAGCUAACAGAGUUCAGUUUUUCAUUUAAUUCAACUGCUUGGAAACACUCUUUUUGUAGAAUCUGUGAAGGGACACUCUGGACACACUGAAGCCUAUGGUAUAAAACCAAAUGUCCCUAGAUAAAAACUAAAAGAAGCUAUCUGUGAAUCUGUUUUGUGAAGUGUGCAUUCUGCUCAAAUAAUUAAAACUUACUUUUGAAUCAGUAGUUUGGGAAAACUCUUUUUGUGGAAUCUCUGAAAGGACUUUUUGGAGUGCAGUGAGGCUUAUAAUGAAAAACUGAAUAUCAUGUGGUAAAAAAUCUAAAAAACACUCUUACUGAAACUGCCUGUGUUGUGUGUAUUCAGCUCAUAGAAUUAAAUAUUUUUUAUUCAGCAGUUUGGAAACACUCCUUUGGGAGAAUCUGUAAAUGGAAAUUUUGGAACACAGUGAGACUUACAGUGAAAAACUGAAUAUCCUGUGAUAAACACUAGAAAAAGCUAUCUGUGAGGCUGCUGUGUGAUGGGUGCAUUCAGCUCUCAGAGUUGAAACUUUUUUUGAUAUAGAAAGUUGGAAAAACUCUUUUUAUACAAAUUGUGAAGUGACAUUUAUGAGUGCUGUGAGGCAUACAGAGAAAACCCAAAUAUCCCAUGAUAAAAUCUAGAGAGAAGCUACCGUGACACUGCUUUCUGGUGUGUGGAUUCAGCUCACAGAGUUAAACCUUUUUUUGAUUCAAUAGUUUGAUAACACUCUUUUUCUACAAUUUGCUAAAGGAAUUUUGGAGGGCCUUGAGGACAAUAGUGAAAAAUUGCAUAUCACUGAAUAAAAAUUAGAACAAAGCAGUCUCUGAAAUGGCUUUGUGAUGUGUUGAUUCAGCUCAAAGAGUUAAACCUUUCUUUUGAUUCAGCAGGUUGGAAAUGCUCUUUUUGUAGAAUCUGCAAAGAGACAUUUCAGAACCCACUGAGGCCUACAGUGAAAAUUCAAAUAUCCCUAGAUAAAAACUAGAAAGAAGCUAUCUGUGAACCUGCUUUGCAAUGUGUGCUUUCAGAUCUCAGAUGUAAACCUUACUUUUGAUGCAGCUAUUUGCAAACACUCUUUUUGUAGACUCUAAGAAGGGACAUUUCAGACGACAGUGAGUCCUACAGUGAAAAACAAAAUAUCCCAGGAAAAAAUUACAAAGAAUUUAUCCAUGAAACUGCUUUGUCAUCUGUGGAUUCAUCUCACAGAGUUAAACCUUUCUUUUGAUUCAGCAGGUUGGAAACACUCUUUUGUAGAAUCUGCUAUGGGACAUUUGGGAGCCAUUGAGGACUAUGGUAAAAACAUCAAAUAUCCCCAGAUAAGAACUAGAAAGAAUCUAUCUGUGAACUGCUUUGUAAUGUCUGGAUUCAUCUCACAGAAUUAGACGUUUCUUUUGAUUUAGCAGUUUGGAAACACUCUUUUUGUAGAAUCUGCAAAGGGACAUUUCGGAGACCAAUGAAGCCUAUAUUGAAACACUUCAGGUUCUAGAAAGAAGCUAUUUCUGAAACUGCUUUUAAUGUGUGCAUUUAGCUCAGAGAGAUAAAAGUUCAUUUUGAUUCAGCAGUUUGGAAACACUUUUUUUUCAAAAUCUGUGAAGAGACAUUUCAGAGGGCUUUGAGGAAUAUAGUAAAAAACAGAAUAUCCUGCAAUAAAAACUAGCAAGAAGCUAUGUGUUAAAUUUUUUUAUGAUGUGUGGAUUCAGCUCAUUGAGUUGAACCUCUUUUUUUUUUUUAUUCAGCAGGUUGGAAAAACUCUUUUUGUGGAAUCUGUGAAGGGAUAUUUCAGAGUGCAGUAAGGCCCAUAGUGAAAAACAAACUUUUGUGCAAU
Molecule: long non-coding RNA, 4139 nt
Filed under: Homo sapiens (human)
Lineage: Eukaryota; Metazoa; Chordata; Mammalia; Primates; Hominidae
Description: HSALNT0136255
Source: RNAcentral